This is a long non-coding RNA of Xiphophorus couchianus (Monterrey platyfish), 7290 nucleotides long. RefSeq lists it as uncharacterized. The transcript has 2 exons. The record is from RefSeq and is a predicted model, not a curated record. Lineage: Eukaryota; Metazoa; Chordata; Actinopteri; Cyprinodontiformes; Poeciliidae.
GUUCACUUCCAGCCGGUAAAUAUACCAAAAUACAACUGUACAUUUAAAACAUUAUCUAACUGGUAAUGUUCAUAACUGCACAUUAUCAGCAUGGGAGAGUACGGUAAAUGAAGGCGUAUAAAUGCCUUGGUCAUCACCUGGAUAACAGACUGGACUGGAGACAGUCUGUUAACAGUAAAGCAGCAGGAAAAAAGAAGCGGCAGAGAAGAUUUUAUUUCUUGAGUUUCUUUGGUGUUUGCAACAAGAUUCUGCAGGUUUCUACAAGUCUGUUGUAGAGAAUGUAAGGUUUUUGUCAUUAUCUGUAGGGGUAGCAGCAUCAGAAAAAAAGAUGUGAAAGCCUCAACAAGCUGAUAAAGAAGACUGGUUCUGUUCUGAGGAAUGGUCUGGAACUCAUGGAGAUGACUGUGCAAAGAAGGAUUCUUUUCUUUAUGAACUUUGAGGACAUGCCUGAGUGUCCUCAUCAGACUGUCCUACAGUAGAGUGUCUUCAAUCAGAGGCUGCACUUUUUCUUCACCGAUUUCAGAUCGGUUGGUUACAGCCAUGUUUCUGUGACAAGCCAAAUGCCCCAACAUAAAUGAACUGAUCAAACACUCUAAACAGGGAUGCUUUUUAGUGUACCUGUUGUCUUAUAUGUUGCAUGUUUCUAAAGCUGUACUGUAAUUUGAACAUAAUGUUUGAUUCAGGUUUCUUCAUUAGAUUAUAAAGAUUGAAUAUGUGCAUAGAAAAUCUAGUGUAAAUUGAAGUGCACCCUUCAACAAUUCAUAUACAGUUAUAUUUCUGUUGUAUUGUUUCAGCGUUGUAUAUUCCACAAGCACAACAGAGUAACAGCAUUGCUUGUUAACAAGAUCAAAUUCUGCCACCAAUGGUAAUUCCAAACUUCCACUCUUAUCAACCUACAGAUCGUGGCUUAUUAGUCACUAUCUCCUGCCUGCAGUCCUGACCCCACCUCUGUUGAACCGCUGUGGGGUCAGCCUAGGUUUCAUGUUCCUACCAGAGUGACCAACCCAACCACAUUGGCAGACUUAUGAUGUCCCAUAGCACUGUGUGACCAAGCUGGUGACCCCCUGAAGUGGGGGUGCCAGGAUUUUGUAGUUCUCUGGGAGUUUUCAUUGCAAUAAACAGCAUAAAGCAACAGCCAAUAACAGAAUAAACUGUUUUUCAUAGCAGCAACCCACAUAGUCACCUCUGCUGCUCAAUCCACACAUGCAGUUUCUUUACAAAUGUUGCAUCACUCAAAACUCUGCAUCAUUAUGAGAUUAUAUGCUAAGAGACAUUGAUACAACAAAGACAUAAUCAAACAAAGACAAAUUUCCUCACCUUUGUUGUUUUUUAACAAAACAAAAUUGCUGAGUGAAAAGUAUUCUGGAAUAAUGUUUCAGCAUUGCUUUUUUUACUUUGUAAGUACAGUAAUUAACAGCAUCAGAUGUUUUAUCAGCAGUGGUGUUGGGGGUUGUGGUUAGUAACAUGUUUCAACUGUUUCAGAGAAAAGGGACCUUUGUUCCAUAAACUAUGGUGAAGUCAAGCAACGUAGCGAUGAAGAGAUGUUUUUAGGGCGGAUGUUGUUCUAAUGAUGGGGAUUUUACUUGACAUUUCUGCAGCUCUGCAUCAAUGCAAACAUGAAGAAACAAACAGCAGCUGAGCAGCAAGUGAUAAGAAAAAAGAAAUAACACCUUUUGAGCACUUCUCACUUCCCUCAUAUCUGCAAUAGAAUUUAUGGUGCACUGAAAGCAUAGCUUCCUAUUUUCGUGUUUCCUGUCCCUCUAAAUCUGUCGUUAUGUACUUCAGCAGCCUCUUUCUGUAGAUCUAAACCGAUUAGGUUUAAAUUCACACAGACUGGGUUUGACCUGAGGUAGGCUUUCAGAAACUGUUUUUACAAAAUCUAGAAAAAAUAUAUUAUAAUAAAUAUUUCAGAAAUCUUGUAAUGGACUCUCUCCUCAAGAUUGUACUUCUCUUGCCCAAUAGCCGCUGUAGAUAAGCAACAUUAGCCCAUGCUGGGACCCUGCAAGGACAAGCUCAUGUAUACAGAGGAUGGAUCUCAGAAAUGCAACUAUUUUUUAGGAAUUCCUGUUUGGUAGAAAAUAAUUUCAUCCAGACUUAACAGGUUGUGAUGGAAAAAUUACAUUAAGGUAUACGUACGAGCCCCAAUGUCAAGGGACUCAGGGUUUUCCUCAACAAACCUGCUGAGCCUCAUGGUAGAGUCAGCAUCCCACCACUGUCUCCCACUGGUCCACCAGCACCUACCAGUGGUCCACCAGCCGUCCACCAGUUAAAAACAAUUCAAAAAUAUGACUAGAUAAUCAUGUGUUAUCAGUUACUGAACCACUAACUAUAGAAUCUUAAAAAGGCACAUUGAAAUACAAUUGAAAUAAACAAUGUGAAUAUUUUGCACUUCAAUUAAAUCCCAAUGAAGUAAUCAGUCUUAAAACAAGCGAUGUAAUGCUGGUCCCAUUUAACAAUAAAAGGCUUCUUAAGGUACAAAAUUCAAAUAUUGUGUAAAGUUUUUUGUUUUUUUGUAAAUCUUCCUAUUUUACUUUGCGAUGUCUGAAGGUUGGUGCAGUAUUUUGAUUGAUGAUCAUUCCAGAUGCUAGUUGGGUUAAUUAUCUGUGUGUCCAUGAUUGUUUGUCCUGUGUCUCUGUGACGGACUGUUGACCUGUACACCACUUCUUGCUCAUCAAUCACUGGUCAUAGGCCCCAGGAUUCCAUCCAUCCAUCCAUUUUCUAACACCCUUGUCCCUAGUGCGGUUGGGAGAGGUGUUGGUGCCUAUCUCCAGCGAACUUUUCAAGCGAGAGGCAGGGUACACCCUUAACAGGUCGCCAGUCCAUCGCAGGGCCCCAGGAUUAUGUGGGAAUAGAAGUUUGAUCAAUCAACAGAUCCAAAUGAUAUGAUUGAUAUAAUGAGAAUUGCUCAUGAACAUGUUUUUAAAUUGGUUAAAUGUCAGAAAAGUGUUACAAAUAAUUUUUAUUUAAACUCUCAGCAAUUGUUGCUGUGAGGCUUUUCUCCCAGCUAAGCAACAUCAAUAAUCAAGUUGCUGGGCUCCCACAAUCUUGAAAGGUAGAAAAACAUUUGCCAGUUUUAAAAGAUAGGGAUGAAAAUAAUAUAAAAGAAGUUUAACACUGUAAUUGUUAAACUGAACAACCGUUUACCAGAGUGGCCAUUAUUUUUUUUAUUGCAUUCUUAGCUUUCUCUCUCAUUUAAGCAGUUUAAGCAUACAAGUAAAAAUACUGAUUGAUUCUUUGUCCACUACCUGGGGGCAGAGUGUAUUGAAUACCAGCACAAUGUUGUGAAGGCUCAUUAAGUUUGCUUCAUCCACAGAAAACAAGAAAGUUUUAAGUAAAAACUCCUAACAAAAGGAAGCAACAUGUUAGAGGUAUGUUCAAGAAGACCCAGGCGCUUUAUUGCGAUAACUACUGCUUGAAACAGAAAAAUAACAUUGAUAAUAGAGAUUAACACAACUGCAUUUUACACUUAGCCCCCUUUAGCUUUUAGGACCUGUUCGUUGUGACUAGGAAACUAUACAAAAACUUAGUGCUUUUAGCUUGCAAGGGUCCAGAGGAUGUCAAAGAUGUUUUAUGGACAACAAUGAAAAGAUUUAGCCCAAAAUCUGGACUGUGGACACUGACAUUAGCUUUGGAGACGUCUGUGCUGCUGCUACAUGUUUAGCAUUGAGAUGUUAUUUUAGGCUUGAAUAGCUUUACUGACAGGUUAACAACUUUUAGCACAACUUGAACACAACAUACUCUUUUUCUUCAUCCAGUCAGAUACAUUUUUGAAGCAAAGAUUAACCUGAGCCAAAAGAAGCAUCUGUCAUCCAUCACUGUUGUUCUAAAAAAGAUUAAUUUUGAUUAAUUGUGUUAUAAUUUUUAACGCAUUAAAACCUAUGUAAUUAUUUAACACAUUGCAGUAGGGGUGUAAUAUGACUACCAUGAAUUUUUGGACAUGUGGAUAAAUAGCCUACAUGUGUUCACUAUCCAAAGUUUACUCAGAUAAAUGUGGAAUGAUUCAUUCUUCUCUGGUGAAUGUUUUCCUUUGCUCCAUCAGUCCCAGCUGGAUGUCUGGACAAAGGACAUGAUUUUAGAAGAGUGAUUUGUAGGAUGGAACAGAACAAAGUAAUGUGCUGUUAGUAGUUGCAUGUGUUUAUAAUCUAAAAGGGGCCAAAGUGUUGUUCAGCAUUGGUUUGGCUCAAACUACUAUUGACUUCUGAGUAUGACGCAUGUGAACCUGGCUUUUUUUUUGUCUAUUUCUCCACAUAUUUAGCCAUAAAAUCUAUAAUAAACUCAUGUUUUACUUUCUCUGUUGUUAUAUAUAGAAGACCUUCCUGAGGUGAGUGACUCAUAGAUACUCACUUCUCUAAAUAUGAUCUUUGAUGUUUUUCCCAGUUAAAAUAGGUGGUAUGUGAACAAACCCUGGAGAAAACCUGUUCUCACUGUUGCCAGGCAAUUUUCUGUUUUAAAUUGAUUCCUAAAUUUCACAUUUUCCAUGUCUCCUCCUGACUUUUUUAUUGUACCUUUUGUGUGUGGUGAGAAGUGUUUAUACAAAAAUCCAAAAUGACCUGUCUUACACUUUGCCACACUAAUUGCAUGUCAAAACUCUUGAAAUACACAGAAUUUAUAAAUGUACUGUAUAAGACUGUCAGUGUUUUUUCCUCUAGGUUUUUAUAGGACAGAGAAGUUUAGUGAUUCAAUUUGUGACAGACCCUCUUCCUUUAAGACCUGGCAUGCAGAAAUUGUGUUCAAGGAUAGAAAUGAGCCUAUCACUCCAUGGCAUGGUCAUGUAGUGAUAAAAUCUUAAAAAAGGGGUAAUUACAUAUUUACACAUGAGCUGUCUGACUGAAAUAAUUAUUUUGGUUUCUACGUUUUACUGCACCUUUUCAGGUCUGCACAUGUGGACAGGCCUCUACUUUAUUACACAUAUUCUCAUGUUAAAUAAUAAAAUAGAUUCCGGUACUUUCAUUUUUAAUCAGCUUCCAUUCAAAAUCAAACUGACCUAGAUCAUUGUUUACUUAUUACAGAUUCUAAAAAAAUGUUGUAAGUUUUGAAAACAGAUGACUUUAGUGGUUGAUUGAACAAAGUGAACACUUUAGCACUAGUCAAGCAUGGAAGCUUAAAAAAGCCAAACUGGAUUUUAUUCUAUGAACUCUUUAUGUUCUCACAACCAGAAUAAACAUUUUACUUUCAACCUGUGUUUUAAAAAAAAUUAUGUUAUGUAGAAGUGUUGCUCAAUAGUGUAAUCAGAGGACAACUCCAAUAGGAAUUGUAUUUGCGUAGCAACUGUCAUUCACUAGGCCUUGUUGAAAUGGACAUAACUUGUUCAAAGAGUAACAUUAAAGAUUUGUGAGCACAAUGCAUUUAAGUAAUCUGCUAACAGUAAAGGGAGAUUUACAUCGUCCAUGUCACAGAACAUGGCUGUCUGCAGACAGACUGUUUGUGGCUGGCUGCUGACCAGUGCUCUGUGUUGUGGAAGAGUCACCAACUCUGCAGCUAAAGCUAACCUACCUAUAGCUCAGAUUCGGUUUCACCGCGCUUCAGUUCACAUGCUCAAUGUACGUCAUUGGUGAGAACUGAUGCAUGUAAAAUUUCUCACCACACUGGAAUGAUCCUAAUAAAUAUGACCAGUCGAGAGUAUGCAUACAGAGUGCGCUCCGUAUUGCUUGCUUCAAUGCUCACGCAUUGCGGUAGUCCAUCCACUGAAAGUGAGUUCUGUUUAAUUUGCAUUGAGCUUGUUAGCACAGAACAGUCCUAUGUAGCUAGAACUGUGGCCAACACUUCCUGUGGUGCACUGCAAACACUGACAUGGUAGAACAUGAUCCACUGACAGGACUAUUGGUAUUGACAGAUUGUACUGUCAUCAAUUGCUACUCAAGGUGCACUAUUCUUUGCACCCUGUGCAGCUGAGUAGCUGAGUUAGGAUGGUCAGCUCCAUCAUUCAGGUUUCUGACCAGGAUGUCCCUUGUUGUCAUGGGAACACCUUGGCAUACCAAAGGUUUGGCUGGAGAGUGUCGAUAGAGGAGAGGGAUGUGUGGGACUCGACCUUAGAUAAAGUGGAAGACAUUGACAGAUGGAGCAUGAUUUGUCUAAGGCAGGUAUGGUCAAUGCUAUUGACAUGUGAAGCUUGAUGGAGUUAUAAGAAGCAUUCUCCUGUAGAUAAAUGUAAAGAUCUCUAUAAAAAACUUUUCUACAUGUGAAGAACUUGCAUCAACCUGAGAACUACAGGACCUGCUAUGAACUAAUGACCCCAGCCCUUCUAUCAACAGUAUUCAUCACAAUGUUCAUUUCAGGCCUCGUUGACAUUCUCUUUACUACUAAAGCAUCAUCUCCAUCUGCAUACUGUUCUGAGAUGGGAACAGCUGUCUUUUUAUAAGAUAUGAUUUAUAAUGGAAAAUACUCAUUAAGUUAAACUUUUUUCAAGAGAAGCUAUGAUUAAUAAAGAACUAAAUAUAUAAAUUUAUUACGUUGGCGUAAAAACAGACAAUUUGUCAAACAAAUUGUCUAUUUCCCAUUAAUACUGUUUAUUUAUCAGUCAUGCAGCUCACAAAUAGAAUAGAAUAGAAUAGACUUUAUUGAUCCCUAAAGGGGAAUUGCUUAUUAGUUGACAAGCUACUCCAUCUAGUGUAUUAAAUAUUAUUAAUGCAAGUAUAACCAGAAGAGAUAACGUUUAUAAUAUAGAUAUACCAAAGAUGAAAUAAUCUAUAUCAUGAUGAGAUAAUCUAUAAAUACAAUAAAUAAUAUAUAUUAAGAUAUUCUCAACUCUGUUUUAUAAGCAGUUAAUUAUAAACCACAACUGGUAAAUAGCAGCUCCUCUAUAAAACACAUUUUAACACGUUGAUUGGUUUCUCAUUGCCUUUAGAUGGAGGUGUGUGUUUUCCUGUGUGUCAUGAUGGGUGAUUGAUUACUCAGUGACAGAAACAGGCUCCUGCCCCCAUGACCUACAAGGAUAAGCAGUUGUGGAUCUAGAAUUAUUCAUUUGUUCACAUUUAUUUAGAGAAAUAUUUAUUCCAUUCAGUCCAAUCAUACAGUCAGUUACCUGCACUCCACAUCAUUCCUGGUUAUAAAAGAAUUGUAGUCAAGUUCAGUUUAUUAUCUCUACUGGUAAAAGGUUGUCUGUCUAAGACAAUCCAGACGACUGCAUUGAAACAAUUGCUUUGCAGCAAUCACUGCUCCUAAAUAAGCACAUAGGAACAGUGGGAAAGAGAACUCCCCUUUAAUGGGAAAAACCCCUAGCAGCAAUAUACCGGAACAACAGGAAACUGCAGUCUCUAGAUGUUGUUUCCAGAAUAGAGAUGUGUUUAAACA